RNAcentral lists this ribosomal RNA (975 nucleotides) under Triticum aestivum (bread wheat). RNAcentral's name for it is "partial small subunit ribosomal RNA". Lineage: Eukaryota; Viridiplantae; Streptophyta; Magnoliopsida; Poales; Poaceae. The record is from RNAcentral.
AUGAAUCCCGACCUGUCCCGGUGCGCCAGGCACCCGUCGCAGCCGCCCUUCACCGGCUUCUGCUCCGCCUGCCUCCUCGAGCGCCUCUCCGCCGCCGCGCUACCGGCCACGCCCCCGGCCCCCUCCCCGUCCCCCCUUCCCCCUCCUCCUCCUCGCCCGGCCGCGGCGGCGGCUCAUGAGGGGGAGGGGCGGACCACGCUGCUCCGGCUCUUCCAGCUCCACGACCAGCAGGACCGGCCCGCGCCGGUCGGAGCUGGAGACCAAGAUCCCGAGCCCAGGGCCGAGCCGGAGCCGCCGCCACCGCUGCAGCGGAAGCGCUCCCUCCGGCAGUCCUGCGAGUGGAUCGCCUGCUGCGAGCACGGCCACGACCCCGCCUCCUGGCUCCCCUCCCGCCAGUCCUGGGACGCCAACGACUCCGCCUCCGCCUCCGCCUCCGCCUCCGCCUCAACCUCCGCCGCCGCCGCCGCCGCGUCCAGCACCACCGCCCCUGCCUCGGCCUCCGCGCUCGUGCUCCACCCCAGCACAAGCAAGGCCUCGCUCAGGCCGUGGUGGGACCGCACCCGCCGGGCGGCGAACCCGGUGGCGGGCUUCCUCAGCAGAUCCCUGUCCUCCCAGUCGUGGCGGGAGACGGACGCCGCGGCGAGGUCCCGGGCGCAGGGCCACGCCGCGGCCCGGGUCAACGGGGGCAGCCACUCCGUGUCGUCGUCCGCGGGCGGCGUCGACUCCGAGGUGUCGCCGGCAGACUCGCUGCACGCGCAUGUACAUAGCGCCGGCCGCCGCGACUCCCUGCUCAGGAGGUUCUACUGGCUCGGCCGCAGCAGCAGCGUCCACUGCCCGUCGCCCCGCCGGAGCCCCGACACCGGAAUGCUGCGCUUCCACCGCACCCCUUCCACCACCAGGAGCAAGACCCAAGCGAGGAGGCGUCUCCACCUCUUUCCUGCUCGCAGUCACAGACAUCAGCAGCAACAACAUUAG